ACAGGUUGUCUGUGUGUGUUUGUGCAGGUUGAGCUCAGUGUGGAGAAAAGCUCUUUUCAUCUGCUGGUUGAUGGGAUCAGAGUGACUGACGGUAACUUAUCCAAUGACGAAGGUUCAGCUUUAGACCUGCUCAACCCCGUUUAUCUGGGAGGUGAUCCAACAAGCAGAGCCACUAAAGGACACAAUAUUCCCAUGAAGAGUCUAAUCAGCUGUGUUCGGGAUUUCAGAAUGAAUGAUGUGGUUGUCGGUGAACCUGAGGCCAGUAACAAAAUCUUACCCUGCUAAUAAAAUGCUUCGAAUGAGUCAUUAGUUGUAAAGAAAAAAAAAAAAAAAAAAAAAAAAGCAAUUAUAGCCUCAUUUGUAAAAUCCUAGAAAUGUAACUAUGAAUGAGAGAAUCUCCGCGUCUGAUUUUUUUGCUUUCCCUGAGAAUCAUUCACAUUUUGGCAGACGUGGUUGUUGUAAAUGUGUAGUAGAUGACUAUAAAUGGAUAGCUUGCUAUAUUGCUGUUGCUAUAAAUUGAGGGUAAAUCACUAUAUAUCAGUAAUAGAUGAC
Molecule: long non-coding RNA, 552 nt
Organism: Amphiprion ocellaris (clown anemonefish)
Lineage: Eukaryota; Metazoa; Chordata; Actinopteri; Pomacentridae
Source: Ensembl